This 520-nucleotide unclassified non-coding RNA is filed under the name uncultured Entrophospora. RNAcentral's name for it is "SSU rRNA". It matches the Rfam family "Eukaryotic small subunit ribosomal RNA", at positions 569 to 1083 of the family's 1831-position model. The record is from RNAcentral. Lineage: Eukaryota; Fungi; Glomeromycota; Glomeromycetes; Entrophosporales; Entrophosporaceae.
AGCAGCCGCGGUAAUUCCAGCUCCAAUAGCGUAUAUUAAAGUUGUUGCAGUUAAAAAGCUCGUAGUUGAAUUUCGGGAUUGGCGCAUCGGUCGUGCCUCACGGGGUAUGAACUGGUGCAGUCAAUUUCUCACCUUCUGGAGGACCGCGAUGUCCUUAAUUGGAUGCCGCGGGGAACCAGGACCUUUACUUUGAAAAAAUUAGAGUGUUUAAAGCAGGCAUUUUUGCUUGAAUACAUUAGCAUGGAAUAAUAAAAUAGGACGGCAUGGUUCUAUUUUGUUGGUUUCUAGGACCACCGUAAUGAUUAAUAGGGAUAGUUGGGGGCAUUAGUAUUCAAUUGUCAGAGGUGAAAUUCUUGGAUUUAUUGAAGACUAACUACUGCGAAAGCAUUUGCCAAGGAUGUUUUCAUUAAUCAAGAACGAAAGUUAGGGGAUCGAAGACGAUCAGAUACCGUCGUAGUCUUAACCAUAAACUAUGCCGACUAGGAAUCAGACGAUGUUAAUUUUUUAAUGACUCGUUUGG